UGGGGAAUAUUGCACAAUGGACGAAAGUCUGAUGCAGCGACGCCGCGUGAGGGAUGAAGGCCUUCGGGUUGUAAACCUUUUUCGCUUUUGACCAAGGCAGCAUUUUGGUGUUGUUGAGGGUAUGAGGUAAAGAAGCUCCGGCUAACUACGUGCCAGCAGCCGCGGUAAUACGUAGGGAGCGAGCGUUGUCCGGAUUUAUUGGGCGUAAAGGGCUUGUAGGUGGCUUGUCGCGUCUGCCGUGAAAUUCCGCAGCUUAACUGUGGUAGUGCGGUGGGUACGGGCAGGCUUGAGUGUGGUAGGGGAGACUGGAAUUCCUGGUGUAGCGGUGGAAUGCGCAGAUAUCAGGAGGAACACCGGUGGCGAAGGCGGGUCUCUGGGCCAUUACUGACGCUGAGGAGCG
This 400-nucleotide ribosomal RNA is filed under the name uncultured bacterium. Its description in RNAcentral is "bacterial SSU rRNA". It matches the Rfam family "Bacterial small subunit ribosomal RNA", at positions 355 to 755 of the family's 1533-position model. The record is from RNAcentral.